GGGAUCUUAUUUUAAUAUAAAAUAUAUAACUUGCAUUUAUAAGAUUUAGAUUCUA
Molecule: transfer RNA, 55 nt
Filed under: Protostrongylus rufescens
Lineage: Eukaryota; Metazoa; Nematoda; Chromadorea; Rhabditida; Metastrongylidae
Description: tRNA-Ala
Source: RNAcentral